AGCCACGAAGAAGGCGCGGCACACAGCUCAGUAACACGUAGCUAACCUGCCCUCGGGACGAGAACACCCCCGGGAAACUGGGGCUAAUUCUCGAUAGGCGAAGAACUCUGGAAUGAGUCUUUACCCAAAAGACGUUUAGAUCAUGCUUCUAGGCGUCGCCCAAGGAUGGGGCUGCGGCCGAUCAGGUAGUUGGUGAGGCAAUGGCUCACCAAGCCUUUAACCGGUGCGGGCCGUGGGAGCGGGAGCCCGGAGAUGGGCACUGAGACAAGGGCCCAGGCCCUACGGGGCGCAGCAGUCGCGAAAACUUUGCAAUAAGCGAAAGCUUGACAGGGCUAUCCCGAGUGCCAUCCGCUGAGGAAGGCUUUUACCCAGUCUAGUAAGCUGGGGGAAUAAGGAGAGGGCAAGUCUGGUGUCAGCCGCCGCGGUAAUACCAGCUCUCCGAGUGGUGUGGAUGUUUAUUGGGCCUAAAGCAUCCGUAGCUGGCUGAGUUAGUCCCCUGUUAAAUCCACCGAAUCAAUCGUUGGAUUGCGGGGGAUACUGCUCGGCUAGGGGACGGGAGAGGCAGACGGUAUUUCCGGGGUAAGGGUGAAAUCUUAUAAUCCCGGGAAGACCACCAGAGGCGAAGGCUGUCUGCUAGAACGCGCCCGACGGUGAGGGAUGAAAGCUGGGGGAGCGAACCGGAUUAGAUACCCGGGUAGUCCCAGCUGUAAACGAUGCAGACUAGGUGUUUGGACGGCCACGUGCCGUUCUAGUGCCGCAGGGAAGCUGUUAAGUCUGCCGCCUGGGGAGUACGAUCGCAAGAUUGAAACUUAA
This 813-nucleotide ribosomal RNA is filed under the name uncultured crenarchaeote. Its description in RNAcentral is "bacterial SSU rRNA". It matches the Rfam family "Archaeal small subunit ribosomal RNA", at positions 63 to 859 of the family's 1478-position model. The record is from RNAcentral. Lineage: Archaea; Thermoproteati; Thermoproteota.